CCUACGGGUGGCAGCAGUGGGGAAUAUUGCACAAUGGGGGAAACCCUGAUGCAGCAACGCCGCGUGAAGGAAGACGGUUUUCGGAUUGUAAACUUCUGUUCUUAGUGAAGAAUAAUGACGGUAGCUAAGGAGCAAGCCACGGCUAACUACGUGCCAGCAGCCGCGGUAAUACGUAGGUGGCAAGCGUUGUCCGGAAUUACUGGGUGUAAAGGGAGCGCAGGCGGGUAGCCAAGUCAGCUGUGAAAACUACGGGCUUAACUUGGAGACUGCAGUUGAAACUGGUUUACUUGAGUGAUGUAGAGGUAGGCGGAAGGCGGGGUGUAGCGGUGAAAGGCAUAGAUAUCCGGAAGAACUCCGAUGGCGAAGGCAGCCAACUAAGCCAUAACUGACACUGAAGCUCGAAAGCGUGGGGAGCAAACAGGAUUAGAUACCCUAGUAGUC
This 441-nucleotide ribosomal RNA is filed under the name uncultured bacterium. RNAcentral's name for it is "partial 16S ribosomal RNA". It matches the Rfam family "Bacterial small subunit ribosomal RNA", at positions 338 to 795 of the family's 1533-position model. The record is from RNAcentral.